UACGAAGGGGGCUAGCGUUGUUCGGAAUUACUGGGCGUAAAGCGCACGUAGGCGGGUUGUUAAGUCAGGGGUGAAAUCCCGGAGCUCAACUCCGGAACUGCCUUUGGUACUGAGGAGCUUGAGUCCGGGAGAGGUGAGUGGAACUGCGAGUGUAGAGGUGAAAUUCGUAGAUAUUCGCAAGAACACCAGUGGCGAAGGCGGCUCACUGGCCCGGUACUGACGCUGAGGUGCGAAAGCGUGGGGAGCAAACAGG
This 253-nucleotide ribosomal RNA is filed under the name uncultured bacterium. RNAcentral's name for it is "partial 16S ribosomal RNA". It matches the Rfam family "Bacterial small subunit ribosomal RNA", at positions 524 to 776 of the family's 1533-position model. The record is from RNAcentral.